This 301-nucleotide ribosomal RNA is filed under the name uncultured bacterium. RNAcentral's name for it is "partial 16S ribosomal RNA". It matches the Rfam family "Bacterial small subunit ribosomal RNA", at positions 509 to 807 of the family's 1533-position model. The record is from RNAcentral.
CAGUAGCCGCGGGAAUACGAAGGGUGCAAGCGUUACUCGGAAUUACUGGGCGUAAAGCGUGCGUAGGUGGUGGUUUAAGUCCGUUGUGAAAGCCCUGGGCUCAACCUGGGAAUUGCAGUGGAUACUGGGUCACUAGAGUGUGGUAGAGGAUAGUGGAAUUUCCGGUGUAGCAGUGAAAUGCGUAGAGAUCGGAAGGAACAUCUGUGGCGAAGGCGACUAUCUGGGCCAACACUGACACUGAGGCACGAAAGCGUGGGGAGCAAACAGGAUUAGAUACCCCCGUAGUCCCUGUCUCUUAUAC